This is a long non-coding RNA of Gallus gallus (chicken), 280 nucleotides long. Lineage: Eukaryota; Metazoa; Chordata; Aves; Galliformes; Phasianidae. The record is from Ensembl.
CUGAAACAGUCACUGAUCCCAACACUAAGCAGAAAAGCCUCUCUGGGGUGUUAGGGAUCAUAUGAUUAUAUGAGGUUGGGACAAAAUCCUGGAGAAACAAAAGCAGAAGCUCUCAGGGACAGAAAUAAUUAAAGCAAGAACUAGGAUUUUGAUGAAAAUGCCCUGGAGUUCUGAUGUGACUUUCUCUAUCCUGAUCCAAUGUCACAGAAUGAACGGGGAAGAUGCAGGAGAAGGUACUUUUGUAAGAUUGGGCCCUCAAGUAACCCUGGUGAUUGCUUUC